AGUCGAGCCAGCACUUGGCUGUGGCUGGGUGGGGUGUCAUCUGAACAGCCUCCUCCUCACCCCGCUCCACCUCUCACCCAGGACUCGGUAAGACCAAAAAUAACAAUAAUAACAACAGCCGUUUCAUCGAUGUGACCUCAUUUAAUCUGCACAAGAAAAUCACGAGGAAGCAUGCGACCUGACUCAGCAUCCCAGGAGGACAGCCUAUACCAACAGCCUGGACUUCUUUGUUCUAACAAGUUGGGACAUCCUUCGGUUGUUCCUUCAGGAUGGGUCCCUGGGUGUUUUGCGAAGGCAAUAUUUCAUUUCCUCAGAUAUUCUCUGAGAAACUGCUGGAAUUUCUGGUGUGGGGAAGCCUGUGCGGUUGAGAACUGGGCACCCUUCAGUGGCUAAACCAGUUUUUCUGGUUUUCUCUUUCACGAGGAACAACUAACCAGGAUGGCCUCCUUUGGACUGGUAGACACUCUGGGAUCCCUGGACUUACCUUAGGAAGCGAAAAGACUGCCCUCUCACUGUCACUAGGAUGGGCACUCAGAAAUCCUGGUAUUGUGACUAACAGAGGAAUUGUGAAUUUAUUUUGGCUCUCACGAUCAUGAAGCAGGACAUAUCCUAAAAGGACAUGGAAAUUAGCAGCUGUUUCCAAUGGUUUGGGCUCCUUCCCUCAGUUCCCAAAGGAGCUUCCCUUCGUCUUCUCUCUGAUAUGGGAUAAGUCAGUGGAGUCUGCACGGCGGCCUUUGGUGCCUGAGGUUCCACCAAAGCAAGUCUGGGCCACACAGUCUUAUCCUGUCAUAUGCUUUCUGCAGAUGUUCCAUGCCAGCACAUUCUCAUCCUCAGCUAUAUUUUUAAUCUAUUUCUAGGUCACAGACUACCCCUAAACUUAGCAGCUGAAAACCAUAAACACUUAUUCUCUCACAUAGCUCCUGUGGCUCAGGAAUCCAGGGGCAGCUUAGCUGCUGGUUCUGACUUAGGGUCUCAUGAAGUUGUGGGAAGAUGUCAGUUGGGACUGCAGUCACUUGAAGGUUUGAUUGGGGCUGGAGGACCCUUUCCCACAGUGGCUCACUCACAUAGUUAGCAAGCUGGUGCUGAUGGUUGGCAGGCAGACUCAGCUCCUCACCUUGCAGGCUUCUCCAAGGGCUGCUUGGGUCUCCUCACAACAUGGCGGCUGGCUUCCCCCAGAGUAAGUGAGCCAUCUGGGAGAGUGAGGCUGAAGCUGUGAUGUCUUUAAUGACACAGCCUAGAAAAUCACAUGCCAUCUCUCCUGCUGUAUCCUACCAGUCUCCCAGGCCAGCCCUAUUUAAUGUGGGAGGGGACUACACAAGGGCAUGACUACCAAGAGGUGGGGAUUGCUGGGGCCAUCUUGGAAGCUGGCUACCACACCAACCUUCAGUGGACUCUGUCUGAAGAGCGAUGAAGAUGACACCCAGUGCAGGCCCCACCAACUUCCCAUCAGCUCGCUUCCUCCUGUGCCCCUCACUAAUCUCCCCCCUCCUGCAUCUCAGCAGCGAGUUCCAGCUGCAGCACAAAUUGUCUUUCCCAGGCUGCCACAGCUCUGCCAACAACAGCUUCAGCUUUGGCAUAUCAUGCUUUCCUCAGGAAACAGACGAGAUGCGCCUAUUUCUUAGGGACAGCCCAGUUUGGGACCAUAGGGACAACCUCAGACCCGCUGACUCUGUUCCUAUCUCACUCUACCAGCCCUCUGCAGUUAAGGUGCCAGGAACAGAAGCCACCUCAGCCCCAAAAUGGAAUUUAGUGAAAGGAUGCCAGAGUGUGUCACAAGAUGGAGGGAAGCUGAAGAACCAAGAUCCAGGAAGCCCGGGACCAGGCAGUCUCGUAACCUGAACAACAGGGGGCC
Molecule: long non-coding RNA, 1852 nt
Filed under: Equus caballus (horse)
Lineage: Eukaryota; Metazoa; Chordata; Mammalia; Perissodactyla; Equidae
Description: lncRNA (ENSECAG00000059584.1)
Source: RNAcentral